This 254-nucleotide long non-coding RNA is filed under the name Amborella trichopoda. Its description in RNAcentral is "long non-coding RNA (ATRI_LNC000860)". Lineage: Eukaryota; Viridiplantae; Streptophyta; Magnoliopsida; Amborellales; Amborellaceae. The record is from RNAcentral.
GAUCGCUGCUUGUGUCGCUUGAAUGCCCGCGUUGCCCAAUCCAACCAUGGAAGUGCUCGGCUUUGACAGUCGCCUCCGUCAGCUCGAUCAAGGCAAUGCUCUGUAUCAGCUGCUAUGCGGGUUUAUCGAUCAAGGCCAGGCUUUCUAGCAACUCGAUCCAGCAAAUCAAUCAGGUCAGCUCGAUCUUGGCUAUGUAUGCUAUGCGCUUUUUUCUUGGCUAUGCUUUGCUCUCUAUCAGUUCGAUCCAAUCCACU